UACGUAGGAGGCAAGCGUUGUCCGGAGUUAUUGGGCGUAAAGCGCGCGCAGGCGGUUGUCUAAGUCUGCUGUGAAAUCUCCCGGCUCAACUGGGAGGGGGCGGCGGAGACUGGGCGACUGGAGGGACCUAGAGGCCGGUGGAAUUCCCGGUGUAGUGGUGAAAUGCGUAGAGAUCGGGAGGAACACCUGUGGCGAAGGCGGCCGGCUGGGGGUACCCUGACGCUGAGGCGCGACAGCGUGGGGAGCGAACCGG
Molecule: ribosomal RNA, 253 nt
Filed under: uncultured bacterium
Lineage: Bacteria
Description: partial 16S ribosomal RNA
Rfam family: Bacterial small subunit ribosomal RNA
Source: RNAcentral